RNAcentral lists this long non-coding RNA (596 nucleotides) under Elaeis guineensis (African oil palm). RNAcentral describes it as "long non-coding RNA (EGUI_LNC002342)". The record is from RNAcentral. Lineage: Eukaryota; Viridiplantae; Streptophyta; Magnoliopsida; Arecales; Arecaceae.
GGAUCCCAAAUAUCAGAAUGAACAAUAUCAAAAGGAGAUUCUGCUUGAUUAUUUAUCUUGCUUAGAAAAGACGUCCGAACAUGUUUUUCAAGCCGACACGACUCACACUCUAAAGACUGCAAAUGAGAGAUGAGGGAUCAUCUUUCUUAGCUUAUUUAGAUUCGAAGGAUCCAAACGAUGAUGAAGGAGAUUAGGAGAUUCUGUGACAGCACAUAUGGUAGAGGAUAGAGGCGGGAGAUAAUAGAGUCCUUGUGAUUCAGAUCCUACACCAAUCGUCUGUCCCAUACUCCGGUCCCAUACUCCGGUCUUGUAUAAGAAAAGAAUCAGCAGUAAAGGUUAUAGAGUAGUCAAGAGUGCUCGUCUGUCCCAUACUCCGGUCUCAUACUCCGGUCUUGUAUAAGAAAAGAAUCAGCAGUAAAGGUUAUAGAGUAGUCAAGAGUGCGAGUAAGUUGACUAAUAGAAAUUAAAUUAAAGGGGCAACUUGGUGUAAAAAGAACAGAAUUUAAGGAUAAAGAAGGGAGAGGUGUAGCUUGACCAAUGCCAGUGACUUUAGCUUUAGAGCCAUUGGCGAGGGUGAUGUAAUGUGGUAUCUUGGG